Molecule: transfer RNA, 64 nt
Filed under: Japanagallia spinosa
Lineage: Eukaryota; Metazoa; Arthropoda; Insecta; Hemiptera; Cicadellidae
Description: tRNA-Gly
Source: RNAcentral
AUUUAUUUAAUAUAACCAGUAUAAUUAGCUUCCAACUAAAAAGUUCAUAGAAUUGAAGUAAAUA